CAAGCCCUGAAACAAAACUGGGAGUUUAAAUUAAUGGCUUCUGGCAAACUGUCAACUGAUAUUAACUUUAUCAUUCAGCACAAUGUCAGUUUUAAGAGCUUCAGGAUAGGACAUUUGAAUGUUAGAAUCCUGAUUAUCAGAUUAAAUGAAUUCCACUUUAUCUUUCAGCCCAGUACUGUGGACCAGGACACCUGACUUACUAAUCUUCUCUGACUUUUGGAGAGGGCAGUAUGUGCUGGUGAGGCUGUGACAUCUGAUUAACUUCUGUUAUCAGGAUGCUUUCUUUAUUCCCGCAGCUGCAUUCACUGGGAACAAGGAAAUUGGCAAUGAGCUCAGAAGGUGCACGGGAGGCAACCCAAUUCCCACUGCAGCUGCAAAGGGACUUUGGGAAAAUUCCUGCAAGACACAUUGCAAUGGACUUCAUUAUUCAGAAGGAAGAUGUACAUCUCCUGAACCACAAGCAGAGUUGCUGCUCUCCUGGAGUCCUGCAUAACUUGGAACCUUAGGGUAAGAACAUGAAAGAAUGAACAACCACAAUGGAGAUAAUUUUCUGAAGAAAGCAGCAUGACUCUCGUGAAGUUAUGGACAUUCAUUUGCAGGAGCCUUAUUACCUGAUGUAAGCCAUUGUUAUCCUACUUCCUUCAAAGGUGCAUUAGUAGCUUACUUCAUUUUCACCAUCAGCUUAGAACUGCUCGUUGUUCACCACCGCUGCUGGAAAUACACACACUUCCCAAUGUCCAGACUUUUUAUGUACAAAGGUAAGUAUAUAAUGAAAACUAGAAGUUUAAAGAACAAUUAUCAACAAGAGAAAUUACAAAUUUGGCUAUUUUGAGUGUUCCAUCCAAAUGCUUAUUCAACAAUGUUUUUGUUCUUCCCCUCAAGUCUCCCUCCCCUUACACAUGUAUGUUGUGUGUGCCCUGCCCAAUAGCAUUGAAAACUGCAAACUCUUGACAGUCUGAGGGCUGACAGAGGGGGCAUCUGUUGUAUGUCGCAGCUUUUUUUUGAUGCCUGGUGAUAAUGUUGAUACAGAUACUUUGAUCUUUAAGCAGUUUGACUUCAUGGAAGAGAUUCUGACUGUGUGGAUGUCUAAAUAAGUUCCCUCAGCUCAUAAAUCUAAAUAAUUCUCAAACUCUCCUACUGGUUUUAUGAUCUCCUAAAUUAUACAGUCUGAAGUAUUUUUCAACUGUUCCACAUUUCUAGCCAAGUCUUUGGAGAUGGUGAAAACUGAGCCUUUAGUGUCCUGUUUCUAUUGCAGGAAGGGCACAAGCAGCUUUUGUAGGUCUGGGCAGAUGAAGAUGGUUUCCACCUGCUUUGUUCUUGGGCAGAUGUUUGUCAGGUUUAGAACCCAUUCUUCUUUUAUGCUUUUAUUAAAAACCUCUCCUCCACACAGGUAGAAGGGAAGGUAGGAAAAUGAAGCCUACUUGUGCUCUUGUUGAUAUCUUUUCAAGGUUGAUUUGAAUAAGGGACAGACUUUGUUGUUGUUGUUAUCACUGGAAUGCAAUAAUAAAAAAAAAUCAUUCUGAAC
RNAcentral lists this long non-coding RNA (1525 nucleotides) under Anas platyrhynchos platyrhynchos (common mallard). Its description in RNAcentral is "lncRNA (ENSAPLG00000026946.1)". Lineage: Eukaryota; Metazoa; Chordata; Aves; Anseriformes; Anatidae. The record is from RNAcentral.